This is a long non-coding RNA of Cyprinus carpio carpio, 1458 nucleotides long. The record is from Ensembl. NCBI's taxonomy places the organism in Eukaryota, Metazoa, Chordata, Actinopteri, Cypriniformes, Cyprinidae.
UUGCAUGUGUCAUUCAUUAUAUUAUUAACGUUUCACCAAAAUCAAGUUUAAAUACUAAGUUUUGGAAUGUUUCGAAUGUUUUCCCCCGUCAUUAAGGACACAUUCGAAGGCAGUACGGGCAUCUACGGGCAUCAUGAAUUUGCAGGCUCCACAGCGUGUCUCUCUGGUCCAGGAGGGCUGAUUUAUUGCUGGUCUCUGGAUGACUGUGACCCUUCAGAGUGUCUCUGGUGAACUGAGGACUGGGCAGAUCACACACAACAGCCAGGAGAUCACACAACGCUGUCCUCGAGCUCACACAGUGAUACUGGAGAUGGCUGCAGCUUCAUUCUUAUGACUGGAUACAAUAGAAAGAAGGUUUAUUACAAUAAUCGGCUGAUGGUCAUGCAGAACAUGUGCUUUAUAAAGUGCUAAUAAUCAGCAAUGUGUUAAUAAUAGGCAUGUGUAUAAGCAGCUAGUUAAAAGUGAGAAAUGGUCCCUAUACUAAAGUGUUACCCAAAUGAUAUUUUUGCUUUAAAAACUGUGGUAAACAUUAUGUAAAAUGUUUAAUUUAAAUUGUGUGAUAUUAGCAAAAAUGAAUAAAUAUCACAAAAGGAAAUGUAGCUACUGUCAGUCUGUCACAAAUAUUUACAUGAACACUGGAUGCAUGCAGAGAUAGCAGUAAAGUUUGUGUGUCUCUCUCAGACAGUUCAGUGGAGCUGACAGACAGAAGUGAUUUCAGAGAUUUAAACAGAACAUGAUCUCUCGUCACCCAACACCAGCGGGGCACGGGACGCUUCAGUGUUACCUCCACACUGAAUAACACUGGGUUUCAAAGCACUUCGUGGGAAAUUAAAGUUUAUUUUCUAAAUGCAUGUUAUAUAUCUUUGAGUGAACAAUUAAUCUGUGCAUGUUUCAUUUUGUUAUUUUUGACCUUGUGAGUGUAAUAUUUAAUCAAAAUAUCAUAACUGGAUUUUCCAGUGAAAUGUUAGACUUCUCCAAUCACUGAGUGCUGUUACUCUCACCAUCAUCUGCAUACAUUAUUAUCUCAACAUCCAGUCAACAACUGAUACUGUACAUACAGUAGCACCAUUCUUUCUUUUUCAUACUCCACUGCACUAGGUUAUAUGACAGAAUACAGUAGAAAAGAUCUGUUACUUACAGUUCAUCAUGACUUUAAAACAAGGUUACUACAGUAACACUCUCUAGUGCUGUGGUUUUACCAUAACUACAGCACAGAACCACAGUGACAUGGCUCAUUUUCAGAUACUGUAUAUUUUACUUUUGCAUAUGUACAGUAUAUAGUUGCUCUUCAGAAAAAUUGAGCAGAAUAGCAACUUUUUUUAAUAAUAAUAAUUAAAAACAAUGGACACAUUACUGAAUAGACAUGUUUACAUUCUCUGAAUCAUCCUAUAUCUGAAAAACUUCGAAUCCUGGAAAUAAAAUAAAACUGUGUUCAGAAUAUCAUAUCAUCAUUCUGUC